This 500-nucleotide ribosomal RNA is filed under the name uncultured bacterium. RNAcentral's name for it is "bacterial SSU rRNA". It matches the Rfam family "Bacterial small subunit ribosomal RNA", at positions 21 to 507 of the family's 1533-position model. The record is from RNAcentral.
GGCUCAGGAUGAACGCUAGCGACAGGCCUAACACAUGCAAGUCGAGGGGCAGCGAAGAGGUAGCAAUACCUUUGUCGGCGACCGGCGCACGGGUGAGUAACACGUAUGCAAUCCACCUGUAACAGGGGGAUAACCCGGAGAAAUCCGGACUAAUACCCCCAUAAUAUGGGGCGCUCCGCAUGGAGAGCCCAUUAAAGAGAGCAAUUUUGGUUACAGACGAGCAUGCGCUCCAUUAGCCAGUUGGCGGGUAACGGCCCACCAAAGCGACGAUGGAUAGGGGUUCUGAGAGGAAGGUCCCCCACAUUGGAACUGAGACACGGUCCAAACUCCUACGGGAGGCAGCAGUGAGGAAUAUUGGUCAAUGGACGAGAGUCUGAACCAGCCAAGUAGCGUGCAGGAUGACGGCCCUAUGGGUUGUAAACUGCUUUUAUAAGGGAAUAAAGUGAGUCUCGUGAGACUUUUUGCAUGUACCUUAUGAAUAAGGACCGGCUAAUUCCGUG